This 253-nucleotide ribosomal RNA is filed under the name uncultured microorganism. RNAcentral's name for it is "partial 16S ribosomal RNA". It matches the Rfam family "Bacterial small subunit ribosomal RNA", at positions 524 to 776 of the family's 1533-position model. The record is from RNAcentral.
UACGUAGGGUGCGAGCGUUAAUCGGAUUUACUGGGCGUAAAGCGUGCGCAGGCGGCCCGUUAAGACAGGUGUGAAAUCCCUGGGCUCAACCUAGGAGUUGCGCUUGUGACUGGCGGGCUCGAGUACGGUAGAGGGGGGUGGAAUUCCUGGUGUAGCAGUGAAAUGCGUAGAGAUCAGGAGGAACACCGAUGGCGAAGGCAGCCCCCUGGGCCUGUACUGACGCUCAUGCACGAAAGCGUGGGGAGCAAACAGG